Long non-coding RNA from Homo sapiens (human), 985 nucleotides. RefSeq lists it as uncharacterized. The transcript has 3 exons. Lineage: Eukaryota; Metazoa; Chordata; Mammalia; Primates; Hominidae. The record is from RefSeq and is a predicted model, not a curated record.
GUGGCCACCUGUGCCCCCUUUUCUCAGCCUGUUCUUCUUUGGGCCUCCUGGGACACUCAAGCACCCCAGGACAAGUCAGGGCCAGCAGACUCCGCCUGCAAAGAGGGCCCCCAUCGCAGAAGCCCUUGGAGACGUCAGCCCUUACGGUGCAGAGGGGAGAUGGAGCCACCGUGCAAAGGAUGCUCCAGCCUCACAGCCAGGAGGCUGGAUAAGGCCGAGUGCACCAGGCCCUUGGGCAGCCCAGUGGGCAGAGCCCAGAAGAGGGGGCCACACGGCCUGGCCUAAGGAGCAGGGUGGGGACCCCGCACCAGGCAGACACCGUCAAGCCUCCUCAUGCCCCCUUGGCCUUCCCUUACUUGUCUGGGGCUCCCUUCCUGCAAUCAAAGAGCCCCUGGCACCUCCAGCCCUUGGGCCAGGGGACCUGGACCCCACCCCCAUGCGUCCCUAGAAGCUAAAGGGACCCUGUGGAAGGGGGCUGGACUUAGGCUUCUUGCCCCCCAGGUAGGCAUCAGGGGAGCAGGGCAGGUCAACGGCUGCUCAGAAGCCUGGCAGGGUUUGCAGGGCGUGGGCUGCCCCAAGCUCAUCUGCACAGAGCGCUGACUUCCGGCCCCAGGACCAGAGCAGGAGACAUGGCCGGGGAAGAAGAGCAAAGGUGGCUCCUGUAAUUCAUUUGGGGGCGUGAGGUGAAGACGGGGCCAGCGCCCCUGGGGCAGCUGAGACCAGGGCGGGGAAGACCAUAAAUCAGGCAGGAGCCAGUGCCCGGUGCCCCAAGCAAAAACUGGAGUGAAAUGUACCUGCCAAGGGUGAGAAAACAGCAAACACACAGAGCAGCACCAAGAAAUCGUCGCCCUGAGAUGACGGGAGCAGACGUAUGACUGGCAAUGGCAAGAGCAAAACACAUGAGCGGAUUUUCCCCUCGCAGCCUCAGAUCUGCUUUCUGUCCUUGUGGGUUUGCCUCCUCUGGGUACGUUCUGAGUUAAUUUUU